GUCCGUAAAGGUGGAUGAGUGGUGUUUGGUUUGUUACGUGUGGUUGGCUGCGGCGUUUGCAACAACUUCCAUGCUUUCAGACCUCUUCAGUUGUGCGGCAAGGCUUGUAUCGCCUUGAGCGUAUUGUGGGUUUUCUGUGUUGAAUACCUAAUCAAUGGUAUCAGUUGGAUUGAUCAAUGUUUCAUUUCGUCUGUCGUCGCAUUCGCGGCGUGAGAUGAACCUUGAUGCGGUCUCUUUGAUCCACCUCGUCGAAGCACAUGCUUUGACCUUGUGGCACAUUGAGCAUUGCUUGGUCUCUUGUAUACGGAACAUAUAGUGGGCAUGGAUCUAANGAUUCUUGUUUGCCCUCAUGUUAGCGUAACGCUUCUCUUACACGACUUGCUCCACGUUUUAGCUCGUACGGACGUGGUU
This 411-nucleotide unclassified non-coding RNA is filed under the name Artemisia lagocephala. Its description in RNAcentral is "partial external transcribed spacer". The record is from RNAcentral. Lineage: Eukaryota; Viridiplantae; Streptophyta; Magnoliopsida; Asterales; Asteraceae.